This is a non-coding RNA of Kalaharituber pfeilii, 104 nucleotides long. Lineage: Eukaryota; Fungi; Ascomycota; Pezizomycetes; Pezizales; Pezizaceae. The record is from the annotation of a GenBank genome assembly.
GGAUGGAUGGCCGAGUGGUUAAGGCGCUGUGUUCAGGAAAGGCUCUCGGAGCUUGGAGUGACUCGCAGUGAGAAAUCGCGUGGGUUCGAAUCCCACUCCAUUCA